UGGGGAAUAUUGGACAAUGGGCGAAAGCCUGAUCCAGCCAUGCCGCGUGUGUGAAGAAGGUCUUCGGAUUGUAAAGCACUUUAAGUUGGGAGGAAGGGCAGUAAGCGAAUACCUUGCUGUUUUGACGUUACCGACAGAAUAAGCACCGGCUAACUCUGUGCCAGCAGCCGCGGUAAUACAGAGGGUGCAAGCGUUAAUCGGAAUUACUGGGGGUAAAGCGCGCGUAGGUGGUUCGUUAAGUUGAAUGUGAAAGCCCCGGGCUCAACCUGGGAACUGCCUCCAAAACUGGCGGGCUAGAGUAGGGCAGAGGGUGGUGGAAUUUCCUGUGUAGCGGUGAAAUGCGUAGAUAUAGGAAGGAACACCAGUGGCGAAGGCGACCACCUGGGCUCAUACUGACACUGAGGUGCGAAAGCGUGGGGAGCAAACAGG
This 429-nucleotide ribosomal RNA is filed under the name Pseudomonadota bacterium. Its description in RNAcentral is "Proteobacteria bacterium partial 16S ribosomal RNA". It matches the Rfam family "Bacterial small subunit ribosomal RNA", at positions 355 to 776 of the family's 1533-position model. Lineage: Bacteria; Pseudomonadati; Pseudomonadota. The record is from RNAcentral.